UGAGAGUCAGAGGAAAUCAGCAUAAGAUCCAUCAAAUGGCCAAGAUAAGCAAACUGAGAAGGAAAGGUUUAAUAACAUGCCCAAGGUCACACAGAUAAGAAGAUGCAUGCACAGCCAAGAUUCCAGUGUUCUGGUCCUCGGAGCCCACACAGUCAUCACCAGGAGGCUACACUGCCUCUUCCUCACUGAAACAUGCAAGGUUUCCCGUGAGUGCCAUGUUACUGGAAGAGACUUUGACAGCUAACUCUCUGGAAUGUUGAGGUUGCAACUGGGUAUCGUGGACUUACUUCUGUGAUAUCUUCAAUGACCAGGGGCUUUGCGGAAGUUCAAUGGGAUUCUGGUUUUGUGAAGCAGUGGAUAUGCUGGGUUUGUAUAACAACAUGUGGAGCAUCAUGGGAAGAUGUCAUUCAAAUGCAAACAGUCCUUUCUACUGCCAUUGCCACGACGGUAGUCCAGUGCCUCAUGACCCCAAUCCUAGAACGAUGCAGUAGGCUCUCAGCUCUCUCAGCUCAGUGCUUUUCAAAUCCUGGAUGCAGAUGACGAUCAUCCAACUACAGAUUCUCAGGCCACCCCAGGCAUACCAAGUCAGAAUCCUUGGGGGCUAAAAAAAUAAGGAAAGAAAGAAAAAAAGGAAGAAAAAGAAACAGGCAGAAAUAGGUCCUUGUCUUGGAAGGAACACUGAGCACUGGGUAAAGAGUCUCACCCAGGUCUCAUCUCUACCUUUCUGUAAAAAGAAAAAGCCUUCAACAGAUGCUGUUUCUUUAGUCACUUCAACCACAGGAAGAUGUCAAAUUCAGAAUGGCAUUUUUCACUUAUAAGAAAAAGAUCUGAAAACCCAAACUUGGAAUCUCAAAGAAAGCUUAAGUGGAAAGGACAUCUUUCAAUAACCAACAUCAUCAUCUUUCCCAUGUACUACCAUCCCAACAGACAGAGACAUCCAGGGAGUCCUGCUCUGUGAAGCACUUUUCAGGAAACAAUCAGCUUAAGACAUCACCCAUCCAAUUCACUUUGACUCUGAUGAACAGUGUCAUCGCUCCUCAGAAAAAUGAAACAGGAGUGGCAUAUAGUCAUGAUGACAGCCAGCUAACCAUUGGGAUCACAUGAAUAAGAGUGCAUCUUACAGAUUCGAGGAAAUCUGAGAACAUUUACAGAGCAUCCAGUGAGUGCCAAGAAUUUUAUAUGUGCCAUAUAGCACGUAAUCUUCACAGUCACACUCUCAAAAUCCAUAUUAUAAACUCCACCUCACAGAUGUUAAUAAGUGACUUCAUAUGGCAAGGUUUGUUUUCUCGCUUCAAAUGAACCACAUCCAGUAGGUAAAGGCCAAAGCCACACUGCAGAGACAUGAUGACAAAGGGUGGUCAUAGCCUCAAAAACAUGUUCUUCCAACGUCGUUAUGAAUGCCAUUCCAAUUAACUUCCCCACUAUUCCCUGGAAAAAUAUCCUUUGACCUCUGCUCAGACAACGUGGGAAGCCCUGUUUUGAAGCAAAUCUGUGGUAUGAGGAGAUGAAAACCUAGCCUAGGACAGAUGCACUGACAGAGUGGGAUUCUUGAGAAGUAUUGCAAAGUUAGGUAGAACUUGGUGAUCAAGUAAAUUACAACU
This 1601-nucleotide long non-coding RNA is filed under the name Homo sapiens (human). RNAcentral's name for it is "HSALNT0385078". Lineage: Eukaryota; Metazoa; Chordata; Mammalia; Primates; Hominidae. The record is from RNAcentral.